Molecule: long non-coding RNA, 245 nt
Organism: Calidris pugnax (ruff)
Lineage: Eukaryota; Metazoa; Chordata; Aves; Charadriiformes; Scolopacidae
Exons: 3
Source: RefSeq, a predicted model, not a curated record
UCUUCCCCGCAGCUACGAGGUGCAGCUGGAGAGCAGAGUGCGGCGGCGAGGUUUGGGCAAAUUCCUCCUGCAGAUCCUCCAGCUGGUGGCCAACAGCACCCAGAUGAAGAAGGUGAUGCUGACGGUCUUUAAACACAACCACGGCGCCUACCAGUUCUUCCGAGAAGCGCUCCAUGCGCUGACAACGUGCCGGGGCCGGGACGGGGAAGGGGCAGCCGAGAGAGGUGGGUGAUUUUGGGGGUGUC